GCUGGGUGUUGUGGUGCAUACCUGUAAUCCCAGUGGCUUGGGAGGCUGAGACAGGAGGAUUGCAAGUUCAAAGCCAGCCUCAGCAACAUUGAGGUGCUAAGCAACUUAGUAAGACCCUGUCUCUA
Molecule: small RNA, 125 nt
Filed under: Marmota monax (woodchuck)
Lineage: Eukaryota; Metazoa; Chordata; Mammalia; Rodentia; Sciuridae
Source: RNAcentral